UUCAUUAUCAGGACGAGUGGAUCAGCAUCAGAUACGUCGUAGUCAUCUAUACUAUGCGACUAGGGAUUGAUGGACUCAUCACCAUUCAGUACUAUGAGAAUCAAGUUUUGGGUUCUGGGGGGAGUAUGUCGCAGACUGAACUAAAGAAAUGACGGAAGGGCACAGCAGGGAGUGGAGCUGCGGCUUAAUUUGACUCAACACGGGGAAACUUACCAGGUACAGACAUAGUAGGAUUGACAGAUUGAUAGCUCUUUCUUGAUUCUGUGGUGUGGUGCGUGACGUUCUUAGUUGGUGGAGUGAUUUGUCUGGUUAAUUCCGAUAACGAACGAGACCUUAACUGCUAAACUAGAUAUUUUCAGUUUGACAAAUAUAUCUUCUUAGAGGGACUAUAUGCUUUAAGUAUAAGGGAAGUAUGAGGCGAUAACAGGUCUGUGAUGCCCUUAUAUGUCCUGGGCUGCACGCGUGCUACACUGAUAUAUACAACAAGUGCCUAGCUAGAUAUAGUAUGGCAAUCUCGAAUAUAUAUCGUGAUGGGGAUAGAUCUUUGCAAUUAUAGAUCUUGAACGAGGAAUUCCUAGUAAGUGCAAGUCAUCAUCUUGCAUUGAUUAUGUCCCUGCCCGGGGUGAAAAACCGCCCGUCGCUCCUACCGAUACCGGGUGAUCCGGUGAACCUGUGGACCCUUUGGGAAAAAUUAGUAAAUCAUAUCACCUAGAGGAAGGAGAAGUCGUAUCAAGUAACCGGAUCCCUCUUCCCUCCUGCA
Molecule: ribosomal RNA, 760 nt
Filed under: uncultured rumen protozoa
Lineage: Eukaryota
Description: bacterial SSU rRNA
Rfam family: Eukaryotic small subunit ribosomal RNA
Source: RNAcentral